This 1785-nucleotide long non-coding RNA is filed under the name Trifolium pratense (red clover). RNAcentral describes it as "long non-coding RNA (TPRA_LNC001875)". The record is from RNAcentral. Lineage: Eukaryota; Viridiplantae; Streptophyta; Magnoliopsida; Fabales; Fabaceae.
UUUCAAUGUUAAGCAGAGUUUAUAGAGUUCUUUUUUCUCCAUUCUUCAAGAAAAGAGUCAAAUACGCAAUUGUGGUUUCAUCAACGGAAAUGAAGAAGGAAGAAAUAGAACGAAUCAAUUUGUUGGGUCUUCAAUUUUCUGCAACAGUAGAGUUUUCAUCAACGAACACAAAGAUAAAGUCUUUCUCGUUUUAUACGGUAAUGUUUUUCCAAUUCUUCAUUAUUCAUUCAAUCUUCUGCUUGCUUGCUUGCUUGAAGAAAACAAAUAACAAUCAAAGAACCUUAAUUGAAAAGGUGUUCUUUCACAAGUUCCUGUUUGGUAGUACCUAUUAUUUUGAAAGAUUAUAGACCCAUUUUUUUAGUUUUGAUUAUUCAAGAACAUUCAAUCUUAUGCUUAACAAAAAGGUCAAAUCUUUUACCCAUUCAAUCUUUUGCUUGAGAAAAAAAGUUAGAAUCUUUUACCCAUUUUCUCAAUCUUGAAUAUUCAAGAACAUUUCAAUCUCCUGCUUGAGAAAUUAAAGUUAGAAUCUUUUAGCCAUUUUUCUCAUUCUUGAAUAUUCAAGAACAUUCAAUCUUCUGCUUGAGAAAAAAAGUUAGAAUAUUUUACUCAUUUUUCCCAUUCUUGAAUAUUCAAGAACAUUCAAUCUUCUUGCCUGAGAAAUAAAUUUAAAAAAAACCUUAAAUUGAGCAAAUGUGUGCUAUGUCCGAGACCCUAUUCGGCAUCAAUGUUUUGAAAUCAUAUGAUUAAGGGAUGGUAUUUAAUGACGCCGAGAUGGAAUAUUUUUAUGACCCUAAUAGUGAAAUUGUCGCUGAGAUGAAAGAUUUUGAUGACCCUAAUAGUGAAAUUGUCGCUGAGAUGAAAUUGUAAUCAUAUGAUUACCGGAUGGUAUCAAAUGUCGCUGAGAUGGAAUGUUUUUACGACUCUAAUAGUGAAAUUGUCGCUGAGAUGGAAUGUUUUUAUGACCCUAAUAGUGAAAUUGUCGCUGAGAUGAAAUUGUAAUCAUAUGAUUAGGGGAUGGUAUCUAAUGUCGCUGAGAUGGAAUAUUUUUAUGACCCUAAUAGUGAAAUUGUCGCUGAUAUGGAAUAUUUUUAUGACCCUAAUAGUGUGGUAUACAUGAGCCUAAAAACGUUGGAUGAUGCCUUAAUGCGGAAGUUAGUUGUUGCCUAAAAUACAAUUUUAAUAUGAAAUUUUAUUCAUAAUUUAAGACUUGGAUGGUAUCUACUGUGCUUUGAUAACCUUAGUCCCUAAAUGCAAUUUUGCAAAUGCAAAAUGGAUUGUGACUUGUGUUGGAUUAUCCUACCGGUACAAAGAAACCGACUUUGUAAGGUUUUCAAAGGAAUUCUUUAAGGAAGGAACAAGUCAAGUGAAGCAAAGUACAAAGAAACCAGCUCUUUCGAGUUUGAACUAUUUCUAAUAGUAUCUAUCUGGUAUGUACAAAGAAACCAACUUUUUGUUUGUUACAUAAUGGAGUUUUGCACAUUUUUGGAAUUUUCAUUCCAACAUAUUUGCAUAUUAGCAUUUUUAACUCUUUAUUCAUGAUGCAAAAGUUGGAUGAUGGCUUUCAAUGCAAUUUUCAUACGAAAUUGUAAUCAUAUGAUUAAGGGAUGGUAUCUAAUGUCAGUGAGAUGAAAUAUUUUUAUGACCCUAAUAGUGAAAUUGUCACUGAGAUGAAAUAUUUUAUUCAUUAUCUAUGAAGGGUGGUGUGGUAUACAUGAGCCAACUCUUUCGACAAUAAGAUAAAUAUACAUGAGCCUGAAAACGUUGGAUGAUUCCUUAAUGCGAAAG